Molecule: long non-coding RNA, 413 nt
Organism: Gadus morhua (Atlantic cod)
Lineage: Eukaryota; Metazoa; Chordata; Actinopteri; Gadiformes; Gadidae
Exons: 3
Source: RefSeq, a predicted model, not a curated record
GAGGGACAUCUCGUGUUCUCAGGUGAUGUUAUAAAGGUUAUUACGUGAGGAACAUGUUGGGGUCUCAGGUGAUGUUAUAAAGGUUAUCUCAUUGUCUCAGGUGAUGUUCUAAGGUUCUUACGUGAGGGACUGAUGUUCUAAGGUUCUUACGUGAGGGACAUCUCGUGGUCUCCAUGGUGAUGUUCUAAGGUUCUUACGUGAGGGACUGAUGUUCUAAGGUUCUUACGUGAGGGACUGAUGUUCUAAGGUUCUUACGUGAGGGACAUCUCGUGGUCUCCAUGGUGAUGUUCUAAGGUUCUUACGUGAGGGCCAUCUCGUGGUCUCCAUGGUGAUGUUCUAAGGUUCUUACGUGAGGGACAUCUCGUGGUCUCCAUGGUGAUGUUCUAAGGUUCUUACGUGAGGGACAUCUCGUG